Molecule: ribosomal RNA, 274 nt
Filed under: uncultured bacterium
Lineage: Bacteria
Description: partial 16S ribosomal RNA
Rfam family: Bacterial small subunit ribosomal RNA
Source: RNAcentral
AUACGGAGGGUGCAAGCGUUACUCGGAAUCACUGGGCGUAAAGGAUGCGUAGGCGGAUAACCAAGUCAAAAGUGAAAUCCUACAGCUUAACUGUAGAACUGCUUUCGAAACUGGUUAUCUAGAAUAUGGAAGAGGCAGAUGGAAUUAGUGGUGUAGGGGUAAAAUCCGUAGAGAUCACUAGGAAUACCGAUUGCGAAGGCGAUCUGCUGGGACAUUAUUGACGCUGAGGCAUGAAAGCGUGGGGAGCAAACAGGAUUAGAUACCCUAGUAGUCC